This 849-nucleotide ribosomal RNA is filed under the name uncultured bacterium. Its description in RNAcentral is "bacterial SSU rRNA". It matches the Rfam family "Bacterial small subunit ribosomal RNA", at positions 58 to 916 of the family's 1533-position model. The record is from RNAcentral.
CAAGUCGAACGAUGAUGCUGGAGCUUGCUCCAGUUGAUUAGUGGCGAACGGGUGAGUAACACGUGAGCAAUCUGCCCUUGACUCUGGGAUAACUGCGGGAAACUGUAGCUAAUACCGGAUACUUUCACCGGAAGGCAUCUUCUGGUGAUGAAAGAAUUUCGGUCAGGGAUGAGCUCGCGGCCUAUCAGCUUGUUGGUGAGGUAACGGCUCACCAAGGCGACGACGGGUAACCGGCCUGAGAGGGUGACCGGUCACACUGGGACUGAGACACGGCCCAGACUCCUACGGGAGGCAGCAGUGGGGAAUAUUGCACAAUGGGCGCAAGCCUGAUGCAGCAACGCCGCGUGAGGGAUGAAGGCCUUCGGGUUGUAAACCUCUUUUAGCAGGGAAGAAGCGAAAGUGACGGUACCUGCAGAAAAAGCACCGGCUAACUACGUGCCAGCAGCCGCGGUAAUACGUAGGGUGCAAGCGUUGUCCGGAAUUAUUGGGCGUAAAGAGCUCGUAGGCGGUUUGUCACGUCUGCUGUGAAAAUCCAAGGCUCAACCUUGGACUUGCAGUGGGUACGGGCAGGCUAGAGUGCGGUAGGGGAGAUGGGAAUUCCUGGUGUAGCGGUGGAAUGCGCAGAUAUCAGGAGGAACACCAAUGGCGAAGGCACAUCUCUGGGCCGUAACUGACGCUGAGGAGCGAAAGCGUGGGGAGCAAACAGGAUUAGAUACCCUGGUAGUCCACGCCGUAAACGGUGGGUGCUAGCUGUGGGCCACAUUCCACGCGGUCCGUAACGAAGUUAACACAUUAAGCACCCCGCCUGGGGAGUACGGCCGCAAGGCUAAAACUCAAAGGAAUUGACGG